AUUCUGCGGAUUAUUUGGCAAAGGAAGCAUUGACACAUGCGCCAAU
This 46-nucleotide unclassified non-coding RNA is filed under the name synthetic construct. The record is from RNAcentral.